CAAUUGCCUCCUUUUUCUUUCUCCGUGCCCUAAUGGCUCUCCCCGACUCUUCUUCCCGCCGCAACUCCCUGAUCCCCUCUUUCAUCUACUCCUCUUCCUCCAAAACGCUCCCUCUACACCACAUGCUCAACUCCGCCUCCGCCGCCGCCCCCUCCCCGCCGCCGGAAAACCUCCACGCCGGAUCGCGCGGCCUCGUGAUUCCCUCUCCCAGCGAGUCACGCAAGAUCGAGAUGUACUCCCCUGCCUUCUACGCCGCCUGCACCGCCGGUGGAAUCCUCAGCUGUGGCCUCACUCACUUGGCCUUCACUCCUCUUGAAAUAGUCAGGUGUAAUAUGCAGGUUCUCUCUCUCUCUCUCUCUCUCUCUCUCUCUCUAUAUAUAUAUAUAUAUAUCGAUCUGUCUUAUUGUGCUUAGAUUUAGGGGCUUAAGGAGCAGGGAUUCAGGGCCUUUUUCCGUGGCUGGGUGCCUACCUUGCUUGGUUACAGUGCCCAGGGUGCUUGCAAAUUUGGCUUCUAUGAGUUCUUUAAGAAGUACUAUUCUGAUAUUGCUGGCCCAGAGUAUGCAAGCAAGUACAAGACCUUGAUCUACCUUGCUGGUUCAGCAUCUGCUGAGGUUAUUGCUGAUAUUGCUCUUUGCCCAUUUGAGGCUGUGAAGGUCCGUGUCCAAACUCAGCCAGGUUUUGCAAGGGGUUUGUCUGAUGGGCUCCCAAAAUUUGUCAGAUCCGAAGGAACCUUAGGGCUGUACAAGGGAUUAGUGCCUCUAUGGGGACGACAGAUUCCAUACACAAUGAUGAAGUUUGCUUCGUUUGAGACCAUUGUUGAGCUGAUCUAUAAGCACGCCAUCCCAACACCAAAGAAUGAGUGCACCAAAGGCCUGCAACUUGCUGUCAGUUUUGCUGCUGGAAAUAUUGCUGGUGUACUUUGUGCAAUUGUGUCUCAUCCUGCUGAUAAUCUUGUCUCUUUUCUGAACAAUGCAAAAGGAGCAACAGUUGGUGAUGCGGUGAAGAAGCUUGGCCUGUGGGAUCUCUUUACCCGUGGUCUUCUCUUCCGUAUUGUUAUGAUUCAAUCUCUUACUGGAGACCAAUGGGUUAUAUAUGAUGCAUUGAAAUUGUUUGCCGGAUUGCCAACCACUGGUGGUCCUGCUCCUGCAGCUGCUCUAGCUUCUGAUGCUGAGCUUGCAAAGGCAUAGAAUGUCCAAUGAUGACACAUUCAACAGUUUGUUUACGAAACUUAGAAAGCCAGUGAAUAGGGACACCAUAAAUAAACAGGAGGAUUGCAGAAGUUGCUUGAGUGGAACUCGAGCUUGGUUGGAUAAUAUAUUCUUUUAAAGUUCAGACAUCGUGUUUCCAUUUUUCUUAAAUUUGAGUAUUUUGAAUUUUUAGGAGGAUGGUUUUGCUCGCAUCCUCCUCUUGCUGAAAACUUUGUAGGUAGGAAUGAUAUAAUUUUGCAUGCUAGGUUCUCUACAUGCCAUUGUCAAACGGGAAUACUCAUUUGUUUUCUUGUCUGUGCAUAAGCACAGACGCAUAUGCAAAUGUCUAGAUUGAGAUAAUUUUUACUCCCUUUAUUUGAUUAUUUCUUUUGGAAAA
Glycine soja is the source of this 1584-nucleotide RNA transcript. It is a transcript of the gene named mitochondrial phosphate carrier protein 3, mitochondrial-like, with no coding region annotated. NCBI's taxonomy places the organism in Eukaryota, Viridiplantae, Streptophyta, Magnoliopsida, Fabales, Fabaceae. The record is from RefSeq and is a predicted model, not a curated record. The transcript is spliced from 5 exons.